CAGACGAUAUCAAUUCGAGUCGUACUGAUUUCAGGAAAAGGAAUUAUCAUAUUAUUUAUUAAAUAAAGCCGCUUGGAUCUAAAGGACCGAGACGGAGGA
Molecule: regulatory RNA element, 99 nt
Organism: Desulfosporosinus orientis DSM 765
Lineage: Bacteria; Bacillati; Bacillota; Clostridia; Eubacteriales; Desulfitobacteriaceae
Rfam family: pan motif
Source: Rfam